Molecule: ribosomal RNA, 373 nt
Filed under: uncultured organism
Description: partial 16S ribosomal RNA
Rfam family: Bacterial small subunit ribosomal RNA
Source: RNAcentral
GUAGGUGGCAAGCGUUGUCCGGAAUUAUUGGGCGUAAAGCGCGCGCAGGCGGUCCUUUAAGUCUGAUGUGAAAGCCCACGGGCUCAACCGUGGAGGGUCAUUGGAAACUGGGGGACUUGAGUACAGAAGAGGAAAGCGGAAUUCCACGUGUAGCGGUGAAAUGCGUAGAGAUGUGGAGGAACACCAGUGGCGAAGGCGGCUUUCUGGUCUGUAACUGACGCUGAGGCGCGAAAGCGUGGGGAGCAAACAGGAUUAGAUACCCUGGUAGUCCACGCCGUAAACAAUGAGUGCUAAGUGUUAGGGGGUUUCCGCCCCUUAGUGCUGCAGCUAACGCAUUAAGCACUCCGCCUGGGGAGUACGGCCGCAAAGGCUG